Molecule: unclassified non-coding RNA, 236 nt
Filed under: plant metagenome
Description: partial contains small subunit ribosomal RNA, internal transcribed spacer 1, and 5.8S ribosomal RNA
Source: RNAcentral
UUUCCGUAGGUGAACCUGCGGAAGGAUCAUUACUGAGUGAGGGCCCCUCGGGGUCCAACCUCCCACCCGUGUUUAACGAACCUUGUUGCUUCGGCGGGCCCGCCUCACGGCCGCCGGGGGGCAUUUGCCCCCGGGCCCGCGCCCGCCCACGCCACUUGUGAACGCUGUCUGUAGUAUGCAGUCUGAGACAAUUAAUAAAUUAAUUAAAACUUUCAACAACGGAUCUCUUGGUUCCG